Molecule: long non-coding RNA, 263 nt
Filed under: Gallus gallus (chicken)
Lineage: Eukaryota; Metazoa; Chordata; Aves; Galliformes; Phasianidae
Source: RNAcentral
CACACACCCCCACACGUGGGGGUCCCCGCGGCGCCCACCUUGAAGAAGUCGUCCUGGUGGAUGACGCAGCAGUUGGGCAGCGCCUUGACGAUCCUGUUGGUCAGCGUGGUUUUGCCUCCGUUGGUGACGCCUCCGAUCCCUAUGAUGUACUCCAUGGCGGAGCCGUGCAGUGUGGGGAGGAAGAGGAGGAGGAGAACCCCACAGCGUGUGGGGCUUUGCACAGAGGGCCCCUUUCCCCCCUCGGCUGCUCUGUGUCCCCGCUG